Molecule: non-coding RNA, 114 nt
Organism: Pragia fontium
Lineage: Bacteria; Pseudomonadati; Pseudomonadota; Gammaproteobacteria; Enterobacterales; Budviciaceae
Source: Rfam
UCGACAGCCUGAUUAUUACAACCACCAUCACCGGUACAAUUGGUAGCGGGGCGGGCUGACGCUUAAACAAAAUAAAAAAGCCCGCACCGUAAAUCGAGUGCGGGUUUUUUUUUG